CGAAAAUGUAACGGGGCUCAAGUGAUGCACCGAAGCUUAGGGUGUGAUCGUUUACGAUCACGCGGUAGCGGAGCGUUCCGUAAGCGGAUGAAGCGUAAGGGUAACCGAACGUGGACGUAUCGGAAGUGCGAAUGCUGACAUGAGUAGCGACAAAGAGUGUGAGAAACACUCUCGCCGUAAGUCCAAGGGUUCCUGCGCAAGGCUAAUCCGCGCAGGGUGAGCCGGCCCCUAAG
Molecule: ribosomal RNA, 233 nt
Filed under: Rhodosorus marinus
Lineage: Eukaryota; Rhodophyta; Stylonematophyceae; Stylonematales; Stylonemataceae
Description: partial Bacterial large subunit ribosomal RNA
Rfam family: Bacterial large subunit ribosomal RNA
Source: RNAcentral